Molecule: ribosomal RNA, 641 nt
Filed under: Mycobacterium sp. AMi2
Lineage: Bacteria; Bacillati; Actinomycetota; Actinomycetes; Mycobacteriales; Mycobacteriaceae
Description: bacterial SSU rRNA
Rfam family: Bacterial small subunit ribosomal RNA
Source: RNAcentral
GUUGUGGUGGAAAGCUUUUGCGGUGUGGGAUGGGCCCGCGGCCUAUCAGCUUGUUGGUGGGGUAAUGGCCUACCAAGGCGACGACGGGUAGCCGGCCUGAGAGGGUGACCGGCCACACUGGGACUGAGAUACGGCCCAGACUCCUACGGGAGGCAGCAGUGGGGAAUAUUGCACAAUGGGCGCAAGCCUGAUGCAGCGACGCCGCGUGGGGGAUGACGGCCUUCGGGUUGUAAACCUCUUUCAGCACAGACGAAGCGUGAGUGACGGUAUGUGCAGAAGAAGCACCGGCCAACUACGUGCCAGCAGCCGCGGUAAUACGUAGGGUGCGAGCGUUGUCCGGAAUUACUGGGCGUAAAGAGCUCGUAGGUGGUUUGUCGCGUUGUUCGUGAAAACUCACAGCUUAACUGUGGGCGUGCGGGCGAUACGGGCAGACUGGAGUACUGCAGGGGAGACUGGAAUUCCUGGUGUAGCGGUGGAAUGCGCAGAUAUCAGGAGGAACACCGGUGGCGAAGGCGGGUCUCUGGGCAGUAACUGACGCUGAGGAGCGAAAGCGUGGGGAGCGAACAGGAUUAGAUACCCUGGUAGUCCACGCCGUAAACGGUGGGUACUAGGUGUGGGUUUCCUUCCUUGGGAUCCGUGCC